RNAcentral lists this ribosomal RNA (253 nucleotides) under uncultured bacterium. RNAcentral describes it as "partial 16S ribosomal RNA". It matches the Rfam family "Bacterial small subunit ribosomal RNA", at positions 524 to 776 of the family's 1533-position model. The record is from RNAcentral.
GACGGAGGGUGCUAGCGUUGUUCGGAAUCACUGGGCGUAAAGGGCGCGUAGGCGGCCUCAGGUGUCGGAUGUGAAAGCCCGGGGCUCAACCCCGGAGGUGCAUCCGAAACUCUGGGGCUGGAGGUCGGAAGAGGAGGGUGGAAUACCCAGUGUAGAGGUGAAAUUCGUAGAUAUUGGCUGGAACACCGGUGGCGAAAGCGGCUCUCUGGCCCGGUUCUGACGCUGAGGCGCGAAAGCGUGGGGAGCAAACAGG